GCUUUAGCUCAGUUGGUAGAGCACAUCAUUCGUAAUGAUGGGGUCGCGUGUUCGAGUCACGCAAGCGGCACCA
RNAcentral lists this transfer RNA (73 nucleotides) under Mesorhizobium sp. RNAcentral's name for it is "tRNA-Thr". It matches the Rfam family "tRNA". From Rfam's summary of the family: Transfer RNA (tRNA) molecules are approximately 80 nucleotides in length. Their secondary structure includes four short double-helical elements and three loops (D, anti-codon, and T loops). The record is from RNAcentral. Lineage: Bacteria; Pseudomonadati; Pseudomonadota; Alphaproteobacteria; Hyphomicrobiales; Phyllobacteriaceae.